This 252-nucleotide ribosomal RNA is filed under the name uncultured bacterium. Its description in RNAcentral is "partial 16S ribosomal RNA". It matches the Rfam family "Bacterial small subunit ribosomal RNA", at positions 524 to 776 of the family's 1533-position model. The record is from RNAcentral.
UACGUAGGCAGCGAGCGUUGUUCGGAAUUACUGGGCGUAAAGAGUGUGUAGGCGGUGCUCUAAGUUCGGUGUGAAAUCUCCCGCUUAACUGGGAGGGUGCGCCGGAAACUGGAGUGCUCGAGCGUGGGAGAGGAAAGCGGAAUUCCUGGUGUAGCGGUGAAAUGCGUAGAUAUCAGGAGGAACACCUGCGGUGUAGACGGCUUUCUGGACCAUUGCUGACGCUGAGACACGAAAGCGUGGGGAGCAAACAGG